Molecule: ribosomal RNA, 253 nt
Filed under: uncultured bacterium
Lineage: Bacteria
Description: partial 16S ribosomal RNA
Rfam family: Bacterial small subunit ribosomal RNA
Source: RNAcentral
UACGAAGGGGGCUAGCGUUGUUCGGAAUCAUUGGGCGUAAAGGGUGCGUAGGCGGCGCGGUAAGUCGGGUGUGAAAUCUCGGAGCUUAACUCCGAAACUGCAUUCGAUACUGCCGUGCUUGAGGACUGGAGAGGAGACUGGAAUUUACGGUGUAGCGGUGAAAUGCGUAGAUAUCGGAAGGAACAUCAGUGGCGAAAGCGACUUCCUGGACCAAUACUGACGCUCAUGUGCGAAAGCGUGGGGAGCAAACAGG